CUUAGCAGAGAUGCUUCGGUGCCUUCGGGAACUCUGAGACAGGUGCUGCAUGGCUGUCGUCAGCUCGUGUUGUGAAAUGUUGGGUUAAGUCCCGCAACGAGCGCAACCCUUAUCCUUUGUUGCCAGCGGCUCGGCCGGGAACUCAAAGGAGACUGCCGGUGAUAAACCGGAGGAAGGUGGGGAUGACGUCAAGUCAUCAUGGCCCUUACGGCCAGGGCUACACACGUGCUACAAUGGCGCAUACAAAGAGAAGCGACCUCGCGAGAGCAAGCGGACCUCAUAAAGUGCGUCGUAGUCCGGAUUGGAGUCUGCAACUCGACUCCAUGAAGUCGGAAUCGCUAGUAAUCGUAGAUCAGAAUGCUACGGUGAAUACGUUCCCGGGCCUUGUACACACCGCCCGUCACACCAUGGGAGUGGGUUGCAAAAGAAGUAGGUAGCUUAACCUUCGGGAGGGCGCUUACCACUUUGUGAUUCAUGACUGGGGUGAAGUCGUAACAAGGUAGGCGUAGCGAG
This 513-nucleotide ribosomal RNA is filed under the name uncultured bacterium. Its description in RNAcentral is "bacterial SSU rRNA". It matches the Rfam family "Bacterial small subunit ribosomal RNA", at positions 996 to 1509 of the family's 1533-position model. The record is from RNAcentral.